AGCGAACAUUGGCGGUAGGCUUAACACAUGCAAGUCGAGCGAGGCGUAAUAGUCGAGCGGCGAACGGGUGCGUAAUACGUGGGAAUCUACCUCGAAGUGGGGGAUAACGUCCAGAAAUGGACGCUAAUACCGCAUAAUCCAUAUUGGGAAAGCGUUGCAGCGCUUUGAGAUGAGCCCAUGGCUGAUUAGCUUGUUGGUGAGGUAACGGCUCACCAAGGCGACGAUCAGUAGCUGGUCUGAGAGGAUGACCAGCCACACUGGAACUGAGAAACGGUCCAGACUCCUACGGGAGGCAGCAGUGGGGAAUCUUGCGCAAUGGGGGCAACCCUGACGCAGCCAUACCGCGUGAGUGAUGAAGGUCUUCGGAUUGUAAAGCUCUUUCGGCGGGGACGACGAUGACGGUACCCGCAAAAGAAGUCACGGCUAACUUCGUGCCAGCAGCCGCAGUAA
RNAcentral lists this ribosomal RNA (450 nucleotides) under uncultured bacterium. Its description in RNAcentral is "partial 16S ribosomal RNA". It matches the Rfam family "Bacterial small subunit ribosomal RNA", at positions 29 to 523 of the family's 1533-position model. The record is from RNAcentral.